Molecule: transfer RNA, 72 nt
Filed under: Bos taurus (domestic cattle)
Lineage: Eukaryota; Metazoa; Chordata; Mammalia; Artiodactyla; Bovidae
Also listed under: 2 other names
Rfam family: tRNA
About the family: Transfer RNA (tRNA) molecules are approximately 80 nucleotides in length. Their secondary structure includes four short double-helical elements and three loops (D, anti-codon, and T loops).
Source: Rfam by way of RNAcentral
UUCCUGGUGGUCCAGUGGUAAGACGCCACAGUCCCAAAGCAGGGGGCCUGGGUUCGAUCCCUGGUCAGGAAA